AGAGUUUGAUCCUGGCUCAGGACGAACGCUGGCGGCGUGCCUAACACAUGCAAGUCGAACGGAGAUAAAGAUUUCGGUUUUUAUCUUAGUGGCGCACGGGUGAGUAACACGUGAAUAACCUGACCCAAAGAGGGGGAUAACACCUGGAAACAGGUGCUAAUACCGCAUAAGACCACAAUGUCGCAUGACGAAGGGGUCAAAGAAAAUCGCUUUGGGAGGGGUUCGCGUCCCAUUAGGUAGUAGGCGGGGUAAUAGCCCACCUAGCCGACGAUGGGUAGCCGAGCUGAGAGGCUGAUCGGCCACACUGGAACUGAGACACGGUCCAGACUCCUACGGGAGGCAGCAGUGGGGAAUAUUGGGCAAUGGGCGCAAGCCUGACCCAGCAACGCCGCGUGAGGGAAGAAGGUUUUCGGAUUGUAAACCUCUGUCGCAGAAGACGAAGGAAGUGACGGUAUUCUGUGAGGAAGCCCCGGCUAACUACGUGCCAGCAGCCGCGGUAAUACGUAGGGGGCGAGCGUUGUCCGGAAUUACUGGGCGUAAAGGGAGCGUAGGCGGUCUGAUAAGUUGGAUGUGAAAUACCCGGGCUUAACUUGGGGGGUGCAUCCAAUACUGUUGGACUAGAGUACAGGAGAGGAAAGCGGAAUUCCUAGUGUAGCGGUGAAAUGCAUAGAUAUUAGGAGGAACAUCGGUGGCGAAGGCGGCUUUCUGGACUGCAACUGACGCUGAGGCUCGAAAGCGUGGGGAGCAAACAGGAUUAGAUACCCUGGUAGUCCACGCUGUAAACGAUGAAUACUAGGUGUAGGGGGUAUAAACUCCCUCUGUGCCGCAGCGAAAGCAUUAAGCAUCCCACCUGGGGAGUACGCCGGCAACGGUGAAACUCAAAGGAAUUGACGGGGGCCCGCACAAGCGGAGGAACAUGUGGUUUAAUUCGAUGAUACGCGAGGAACCUUACCCGGGCUUGAAUUGCAGAGGAAGGAUUUGGAGACAAUGACGCCCUUCGGGGCCUCUGUGAAGGUGCUGCAUGGUUGUCGUCAGCUCGUGCCGUGAGGUGUCGGCUUAAGUGCCAUAACGAGCGCAACCCCUCUCCUCAGUUGCCAUCAGGUUAAGCUGGGCACUCUGGGGACACUGCCACCGUAAGGUGUGAGGAAGGUGGGGAUGACGUCAAAUCAGCACGGCCCUUACGUCCGGGGCUACACACGUGUUGCAAUGGCAGGUACAGAGAGACGGUCCCUUGCAAAACGGAUCAAAUCCUUAAAGCCUGUCUCAGUUCGGACUGGGGUCUGCAACCCGACCCCACGAAGCUGGAUUCGCUAGUAAUCGCGCAUCAGCCAUGGCGCGGUGAAUACGUUCCCGGGCCUUGUACACACCGCCCGUCAAGCCAUGAAAGCCGGGGGCGCCUAAAGUCCGUGACCGUAAAGAGCGGCCUAGGGCGAAACUGGUAAUUGGGGCUAAGUCGUAACAAGGUA
RNAcentral lists this ribosomal RNA (1466 nucleotides) under metagenome. RNAcentral's name for it is "bacterial SSU rRNA". It matches the Rfam family "Bacterial small subunit ribosomal RNA". The record is from RNAcentral.